RNAcentral lists this ribosomal RNA (452 nucleotides) under uncultured bacterium. Its description in RNAcentral is "bacterial SSU rRNA". It matches the Rfam family "Bacterial small subunit ribosomal RNA", at positions 28 to 507 of the family's 1533-position model. The record is from RNAcentral.
GACGAACGCUGGCGGCGUGCCUAACACAUGCAAGUCGAACGGAGUUAAGUUUUCGGAUUUAACUUAGUGGCGAACGGGUGAGUAACGCGUGAGGAACCUGCCUUUCAGUGGGGGACAACAGUUGGAAACGACUGCUAAUACCGCAUAAUGUUAUUUGGGGGCAUCCCCGAAUAACCAAAGAUUUAUUGCUGAAAGAUGGCCUCGCGUCUGAUUAGCUAGUUGGUGAGGUAACGGCCCACCAAGGCGACGAUCAGUAGCCGGUCUGAGAGGAUGAACGGCCACAUUGGGACUGAGAUACGGCCCAGACUCCUACGGGAGGCAGCAGUGGGGAAUAUUGGGCAAUGGGCGAAAGCCUGACCCAGCAACGCCGCGUGAAGGAAGAAGGCCUGGUGUAAUCUUACAGGACGAAGAACGUGACGGUACCUGGAGAAAAAGCAACGGCUAACUACGUG